CGCUGGCGGCAGGCCUAAAACAUGCAAGUUGAACGGUUGUAGCAAUACAACGAGUAGCGGACGGGUGAGUAAUGUAUGGGAACAUGUCCUUUAGUGGGGAAUAGCUUCUGGAAACGGGAGGUAAUACCGCAUAAGACCUGAGGGUGAAAGCAUUUAUGCGCUAAAGGGUUGGCCCAUAUCAGAUUAGCUAGUUGGUUAGGUAAAGGCUGACCAAGGCGACGAUCAGUAGCCGGCCUGAGAGGGUGAACGGCCACAUUGGGACUGAGACACGGCCCAAACUCCUACGGGAGGCAGCAGUGGGGAAUAUUGCACAAUGGGGGAAACCCUGAUGCAGCGACGCCGCGUGAGUGAAGAAGUAUUUCGGUAUGUAAAGCUCUAUCAGCAGGGAAGAAAAUGACGGUACCUGACUAAGAAGCCCCGGCUAACUACGUG
This 432-nucleotide ribosomal RNA is filed under the name uncultured bacterium. RNAcentral describes it as "bacterial SSU rRNA". It matches the Rfam family "Bacterial small subunit ribosomal RNA", at positions 34 to 507 of the family's 1533-position model. The record is from RNAcentral.